UACGGAGGUUGCGAGCGUUGUUCGGAAUUACUGGGCGUAAAGGGAGCGCAGGUGGCUGGGUAAGUCUGAAGUGAAAUCCCGAGGCUCAACCUCGGACGUGCUUUGGAUACUGCCCGGCUUGAGUGUGCAAUAGGAGAGCGGAAUUCCAGGUGUAGCGGUGAAAUGCGUAGAUAUCUGGAGGAACACCCGUGGCGAAAGCGGCUCUCUGGUGCAACACUGACGCUGAGGCUCGAAAGCGUGGGUAGCGAACGGG
RNAcentral lists this ribosomal RNA (253 nucleotides) under uncultured bacterium. Its description in RNAcentral is "partial 16S ribosomal RNA". It matches the Rfam family "Bacterial small subunit ribosomal RNA", at positions 524 to 776 of the family's 1533-position model. The record is from RNAcentral.